UAGCAUAGUGGCAUUGCGUUCGCUUCGUAAGCGAAAAGUCGUGAGUUCAAUCCUCAC
This 57-nucleotide transfer RNA is filed under the name Ipomoea nil (Japanese morning glory). It matches the Rfam family "tRNA", at positions 8 to 63 of the family's 71-position model. From Rfam's summary of the family: Transfer RNA (tRNA) molecules are approximately 80 nucleotides in length. Their secondary structure includes four short double-helical elements and three loops (D, anti-codon, and T loops). Lineage: Eukaryota; Viridiplantae; Streptophyta; Magnoliopsida; Solanales; Convolvulaceae. The record is from Rfam by way of RNAcentral.